Molecule: ribosomal RNA, 255 nt
Filed under: uncultured bacterium
Lineage: Bacteria
Description: partial 16S ribosomal RNA
Rfam family: Bacterial small subunit ribosomal RNA
Source: RNAcentral
AGAGGCGAAGCCGCGAGGCGGAGCAAAUCUCAAAAAGCCGUCCCAGUUCGGAUUGCAGGCUGCAACCCGCCUGCAUGAAGUUGGAAUCGCUAGUAAUCGCGGAUCAGCAUGCCGCGGUGAAUACGUUCCCGGGCCUUGUACACACCGCCCGUCACACCAUGAGAGUCGGGAACACCCAAAGUCCGUAGCCUAACCGCAAGGGGGGCGCGGCCGAAGGUGGGUUCGAUAAUUGGGGUGAAGUCGUAACAAGGUAUC